GGGGCUGGGGCUCAGUGGUAGAGCGCUUGCCUUGCAUGCAUGAAGCACUGAAUUCGAUCCUCAGCAUCACAU
Non-coding RNA from Ictidomys tridecemlineatus (thirteen-lined ground squirrel), 72 nucleotides. The record is from Rfam. Lineage: Eukaryota; Metazoa; Chordata; Mammalia; Rodentia; Sciuridae.